AGUUGCGCCCGAAGCCAUUCGGCCGAGGGCACGUCUGCCUGGGCGUCACGCAUCGCGUCGCCCCCGACCACGCCUCCCUCAUGGGGAUGCGUUCCAUCAGGGGCGGAGACUGGUCUCCGUGCCCACGGCGCGGUUGGCCUAAAUAGGAGUCCCCUUCGACGGACGCACGGCUAGUGGUGGUUGUCAAGGCCUUCGUAUCGAGCCGUGCGGACGCAAGGGAAACGCUCCUCAAAGACCCCAACGUGUCGUCUUGCGACGAUGCUUCGACCGCGACCCCAGGUCAGGCGGGACUACCCGCUGAGUUUAA
This 307-nucleotide ribosomal RNA is filed under the name Dolomiaea costus. RNAcentral describes it as "eukaryotic LSU rRNA". Lineage: Eukaryota; Viridiplantae; Streptophyta; Magnoliopsida; Asterales; Asteraceae. The record is from RNAcentral.